ACUCCUACGGGAGGCAGCAGUGAGGAAUAUUGGACAAUGGGCGGGAGCCUGAUCCAGCCAUGCCGCGUGCAGGAAGACUGCCCUAUGGGUUGUAAACUGCUUUUUGUACAGAAAGAAACACUCCCUCGUGAGGGAGCUUGACGGUACUGUAAGAAUAAGGAUCGGCUAAACUCCGUGCCAGCAGCCGCGGUAAUACGGAGGAUCC
RNAcentral lists this ribosomal RNA (205 nucleotides) under uncultured bacterium. RNAcentral describes it as "partial 16S ribosomal RNA". It matches the Rfam family "Bacterial small subunit ribosomal RNA", at positions 335 to 535 of the family's 1533-position model. The record is from RNAcentral.